RNAcentral lists this long non-coding RNA (716 nucleotides) under Piliocolobus tephrosceles (Ugandan red Colobus). RNAcentral's name for it is "lncRNA (ENSPTEG00000028464.1)". The record is from RNAcentral. Lineage: Eukaryota; Metazoa; Chordata; Mammalia; Primates; Cercopithecidae.
GAAAGUUUUCUUCAUCUGGAACUAGCCUAUGUUCAUACCCUGAGGAGGGUAGGGAGAAAAGUUUGCUUUUCUUAAUCCAAUUCGCUCACAUGGCAUUUUUCUACAUCAAAGAGCCAUCCACCCCUGUUUUCCAUCUUUAGCCCCACCAAAACAACAUUUCCGAGGCUUUGAAAUUCUAGUAGUUCCUUAGUGUGCACUUCAGCAGAUUCACUCCCUGCCCUUCCCAACUCUACUGAUGACAACAGAAGGUCCCAUAUCCAGUGGAGCUUCCUCGGGGCACGUGCUCUGUGACUUCUUCUUUUCACUCCAGCGCACUGUGAAUGAGGGGGAUUUGGUCUUUGCCUGUUGGAUGGCCAGGAAAUAACAGCUUUGAAGAGGCUGCUCAAGGUGGUGAGAGAAAGACCUAUAGCCCCUUCCCUGACCCCAAACCACCAUUUUUUGGCUAUUACAAGAUAAUUAAUGAGUGACUUAUUUGUAUGCUGCAUACUAUUUUUUGUUGCUAUACAUUUUAAUUUCCAAUGUUAUUUUGGGUGACUUAAAGGAAGUUACUGGGAAAGAAAGCUUUGGCUUGACAUAUAGAAACUGCUACUUAACCUAUACAGAAUAGGAAUAUGGGCUUUGGAGAGGACAGAACAGGUUUGUCAGAGUGCGAAUUCUCUCACUCAUGAAAGUUAAAAUGUAAUGAAUAAACAUUCUUAAUGGGGAUAAGUGAAUCA